This 106-nucleotide small nucleolar RNA is filed under the name Gossypium arboreum. RNAcentral's name for it is "Plant small nucleolar RNA R71". It matches the Rfam family "Plant small nucleolar RNA R71". Rfam says of the family: R71 is a member of the C/D box family of snoRNAs containing the C (UGAUGA) and D (CUGA) box motifs. Multiple nearly identical copies of this snoRNA have been identified in Arabidopsis, and it is thought to function as a 2'-O-ribose methylation guide for 18S ribosomal RNA. Lineage: Eukaryota; Viridiplantae; Streptophyta; Magnoliopsida; Malvales; Malvaceae. The record is from Rfam by way of RNAcentral.
AACCCAUGGUGAGGGCACCUUCUCAACAGAUCCUUGUUUUCUCCCAUGCAUCGUAGAGUGUUUUUAGAUCCAUAUGCAUAAAAGAAGAGAUAUCAUUCCUUAAUUU